RNAcentral lists this non-coding RNA (45 nucleotides) under Schistosoma mansoni. Lineage: Eukaryota; Metazoa; Platyhelminthes; Trematoda; Strigeidida; Schistosomatidae. The record is from RNAcentral.
AUUCUGCUGACGGGUCCUAAAUAGGACGAAACGCAUAUCCUGAAU